GCGGAGGGAUCAUUACACAGAUAUGAAGGCGGGCUGGAAUCUCUCGGGGUUACAGCCUUGCUGAAUUAUUCACCCUUGUCUUUUGCGUACUUCUUGUUUCCUUGGUGGGUUCGCCCACCACUAGGACAAACAUAAACCUUUUGUAAUUGCAAUCAGCGUCAGUAACAAAUUAAUAAUUACAACUUUCAACAACGGAUCUCUUGGUUCUGGCA
This 212-nucleotide unclassified non-coding RNA is filed under the name uncultured fungus. RNAcentral describes it as "partial contains 18S rRNA, ITS1, 5.8S rRNA". The record is from RNAcentral. Lineage: Eukaryota; Fungi.